AUGAACGCUGGCGGCGUGCCUAAUACCUGCAAGUCGAGCGAACGGACGAGAAGCUUGCUUCUCUGAUGUUAGCGGCGGACGGGUGAGUAACACGUGGAUAACCUACCUAUAAGACUGGGAUAACUUCGGGAAACCGUAGCUAAUACCGGAUAAUAUUUUGAACCGCAUGGUUCAAAAGUGAAAGACGGUCUUGCUGUCACUUAUAGAUGGAUCCGCGCUGCAUUAGCUAGUUGGUAAGGUAACGGCUUACCAAGGCAACGAUGCAUAGCCGACCUGAGAGGGUGAUCGGCCACACUGGAACUGAGACACGGUCCAGACUCCUACGGGAGGCAGCAGUAGGGAAUCUUCCGCAAUGGGCGAAAGCCUGACGGAGCAACGCCGCGUGAGUGAUGAAGGUCUUCGGAUCGUAAAACUCUGUUAUUAGGGAAGAACAUAUGUGUAAGUAACUGUGCACAUCUUGACGGUACCCAAUCAGAAAGCCACGGCUAACUACGUG
Molecule: ribosomal RNA, 496 nt
Filed under: uncultured bacterium
Lineage: Bacteria
Description: partial 16S ribosomal RNA
Rfam family: Bacterial small subunit ribosomal RNA
Source: RNAcentral